Molecule: ribosomal RNA, 253 nt
Filed under: uncultured bacterium
Lineage: Bacteria
Description: partial 16S ribosomal RNA
Rfam family: Bacterial small subunit ribosomal RNA
Source: RNAcentral
UACGAAGGGGGCUAGCGUUGCUCGGAAUCACUGGGCGUAAAGCGCACGUAGGCGGCUUUUUAAGUCAGAGGUGAAAUCCUGGAGCUCAACUCCAGAACUGCCUUUGAUACUGGAGAGCUUGAGUCCGGGAGAGGUGAGUGGAACUGCGAGUGUAGAGGUGAAAUUCGUAGAUAUUCGGAAGAACACCAGUGGCGAAGGCGGCUCACUGGACAUGUAUUGACGCUGAGGUGCGAAAGCGUGGGGAGCAAACAGG